This 405-nucleotide ribosomal RNA is filed under the name uncultured Campylobacter sp. RNAcentral's name for it is "bacterial SSU rRNA". It matches the Rfam family "Bacterial small subunit ribosomal RNA", at positions 355 to 776 of the family's 1533-position model. Lineage: Bacteria; Pseudomonadati; Campylobacterota; Epsilonproteobacteria; Campylobacterales; Campylobacteraceae. The record is from RNAcentral.
UAGGGAAUAUUGCUCAAUGGGGGAAACCCUGAAGCAGCAACGCCGCGUGGAGGAUGACACUUUUCGGAGCGUAAACUCCUUUUCUUAGGGAAGAAAUUUGACGGUACCUAAGGAAUAAGCACCGGCUAACUCCGUGCCAGCAGCCGCGGUAAUACGGAGGGUGCAAGCGUUACUCGGAAUCACUGGGCGUAAAGGACGCGUAGGCGGAUUAUCAAGUCUUUUGUGAAAUCUAAUGGCUCAACCAUUAAACUGCUUGAGAAACUGAUAAUCUAGAGUGAGGGAGAGGCAGAUGGAAUUGGUGGUGUAGGGGUAAAAUCCGUAGAGAUCACCAGGAAUACCCAUUGCGAAGGCGAUCUGCUAGAACUCAACUGACGCUAAUGCGUGAAAGCGUGGGGAGCAAACAGG